UACGAAGGGGGCUAGCGUUGCUCGGAAUCACUGGGCGUAAAGCGCACGUAGGCGGACUCUUAAGUCGGUGGUGAAAUCCUGGAGCUCAACUCCGGAACUGCCUUCGAUACUGAGAGUCCUGAGUCCGGGAGAGGUGAGUGGAACUGCGAGUGUAGAGGUGAAAUUCGUAGAUAUUCGCAAGAACACCAGUGGCGAAGGCGGCUCACUGGCCCGGUACUGACGCUGAGGUGCGAAAGCGUGGGGAGCGAACAGG
This 253-nucleotide ribosomal RNA is filed under the name uncultured bacterium. RNAcentral's name for it is "partial 16S ribosomal RNA". It matches the Rfam family "Bacterial small subunit ribosomal RNA", at positions 524 to 776 of the family's 1533-position model. The record is from RNAcentral.